This 460-nucleotide ribosomal RNA is filed under the name uncultured bacterium. Its description in RNAcentral is "partial 16S ribosomal RNA". It matches the Rfam family "Bacterial small subunit ribosomal RNA", at positions 338 to 795 of the family's 1533-position model. The record is from RNAcentral.
CCUAGGGGAGGCAGCAGUGAGGAAUAUUUGUCAAUGGGCGUAAGCCUGAACCAGCCAAGUCGCGUGAGGGAUGAAGGUUCUAUGGAUCGUAAACCUCUUUUAUAAGGGAAUAAAGUGUGGGACGUGUCCUAUUUUGUAAGUACCUUAUGAAUAAGGAUCGGCUAACUCCGUGCCAGCAGCCGCGGUAAUACGGAGGAUCCGAGCGUUAUCCGGAUUUAUUGGGUUUAAAGGGUGCGUAGGCGGCCUUUUAAGUCAGAGGUGAAAGUCUUGGGCUCAACCAUUGAAUUGCCGUUGACACUGGUGGGCUUGAGUAUGUUUGAGGCAGGCGGAAUGCGUGGGGUAGCGGUGAAAUGCUUAGAUAUCACGCAGAACCCCGAUUGCGAAGGCAGCCUACCAAGCCAUGUCUGACGCUGAUGCACGAAAGCGUGGGGAGCAAACAGGAUUAGAUACCCGAGUAGUC